GACGAACGCUGGCGGCGUGCCUAAUACAUGCAAGUCGAACGCUUUUUCUUUCACCGGAGCUUGCUCCACCGAAAGAAAAAGAGUGGCGAACGGGUGAGUAACACGUGGGUAACCUGCCCAUCAGAAGGGGAUAACACUUGGAAACAGGUGCUAAUACCGUAUAACACUAUUUUCCGCAUGGAAGAAAGUUGAAAGGCGCUUUUGCGUCACUGGUGGAUGGACCCGCGGUGCAUUAGCUAGUUGGUGAGGUAACGGCUCACCAAGGCAACGAUGCAUAGCCGACCUGAGAGGGUGAUCGGCCACACUGGGACAGAGACACGGCCCAGACUCCUACGGGAGGUAGCAGUAGGGAAUCUUCGGCAAUGGACGAAAGUCUGAACGAGCAACGCCGCGUGAGUGAAGAAGGUUUUCGGAUCGUAAAACUCUGUUGUUAGAGAAGAACAAGGAUGAGAGUAAAACGUUCAUCCCUUGACGGUAUCUAACCAGAAAGCCACGGCUAACUACGUGCCAGCCGCCGCCGUAA
Molecule: ribosomal RNA, 523 nt
Filed under: uncultured bacterium
Lineage: Bacteria
Description: partial 16S ribosomal RNA
Rfam family: Bacterial small subunit ribosomal RNA
Source: RNAcentral